GGGGAAGUCUUGGCGGGCGGGAUGCUAUUUAUUAAAGCGGCACGUUAACUUUCCACAAAACACUGAAAAAAAGGCGACCUGCCAUCAGGAUCCAGACUUGGUUCAGUACGGAAACGACCUGACUUCAUCUUCGACAUCAGCGGACAGAAAGACAACACAACAAUGAUCAUCGCACCUUUGAUUUUUGUAUUUCUGCUCGUAGGAAGCAGCUGGGCUGAGAGUGAUACCUUCGAUCAAAGCUCUUUCGACGGUGGCAGCGAUGACCUUGUCGUCCCACAAAACAUGCCUGUCAUGAAUGUCAGAAGUUUUAGGGUUAAACGUGCAGGUGAUGAUGAUGGUAGUGGUAGUGGUAGUGGUAGUGGUGGUGGUAGUGGUGGUGGUGGUGGUGGUGGUGUACCGUUGUAAUGUCCCAAAAAAGGCCAGUGAUAAUGUCCCAACUCAAAAGUUUAGCGGUUGUCCAUUCUGGUCACAGCCUUUUGUGUCCUUGGGCAAGGCACUUCCCGCACCUGGCACCCAGUGCCACCCACAUUGGUACGGUGUGCUAUAACCUGGUUUGUUAACGGAAAUUAGCUCACGAACAUGGGACUGUCCUGAAUAAAGAAAUUAAAACAUGG
Molecule: long non-coding RNA, 614 nt
Organism: Nerophis ophidion (straightnose pipefish)
Lineage: Eukaryota; Metazoa; Chordata; Actinopteri; Syngnathiformes; Syngnathidae
Exons: 3
Source: RefSeq, a predicted model, not a curated record